GUGAGGAAUAUUGGUCAAUGGGCGGGAGCCUGAACCAGCCAAGUCGCGUGAAGGAAGAAGGAGCUAUGGUUCGUAAACUACUUUUGCAGGGGAAUAAAGUGCAGGACGUGUCCUGUCUUGUAUGUACCCUGAGAAUAAGGAUCGGCUAACUCCGUGCCAGCAGCCGCGGUAAUACGGAGGAUCCGAGCGUUAUCCGGAGUUAUGGGGUUUAAAGGGUGCGUGGGUGGUUUGAUAAGUCAGCGGUGAAAGUUUGCAGCUUAACUGUAAGAAUGCCGUUGGAACUGUCGGACUUGAGUGUAAAUGAUGUAGGCGGAAUGCGUGGUGUAGCUGUGACAUGCAUAACUAUCACGAAGAACUCCGAUUGCGAACGCUGCUUACUACGCUACAACUGGCACUGUAGCACGAAAGCGUGGGUAUCAAACACGAUUAGAUACUCCGGUAGUCC
This 445-nucleotide ribosomal RNA is filed under the name uncultured bacterium. Its description in RNAcentral is "partial 16S ribosomal RNA". It matches the Rfam family "Bacterial small subunit ribosomal RNA", at positions 354 to 796 of the family's 1533-position model. The record is from RNAcentral.